UUGCAUAUUUGAAUUAGCAUCUUUAUUCGUUUUUAUUAUAUACUUUGUGUUUUUACAUAAAGAGACAUAUUUCUUUUACACAUAUAGAUUAUAUGAUUAAUUUGUAUCUGUAUAUAUGUACACCUUAAAUAAAUCUUACAUUAACACCAAGAAAAUAAAACAUUUACAGUGCAAGAAUGUUCCUCAGUGGUCAACUUUCACUUGUUUGCUCACCCUGGUAAACCACAAUCACUGCCAAGUUAAACCGGUUUGGGUUUUUUUGUUUGUUUUUUUUGUUUUUUUUGGGUUCCUCUCACCAUUCGUGCUCUCGCUCAAAAAAAAUAAGUAACGUGAACUUUGGAAAUUUGUUGUUUUGAAAGGAGAGGUUUUAAGGAUGGAAGCGAACAGGGACUGUAUGCACAUGUGACCUCCACAGGAUAGUUUGGGAAAUGGGCUUAUUUGCCUUGUUGCCUUUAGUUAGAUAACAAAAUUGACAGCAGCCUCGUGUUUGUGCAAAUAUGAAGCUACCAGCAGUAAAUUAUUGGAACCUAUCUGCACUGACACCCUUGUAAUACAGUUUCUUCUUUUAUACACUUUGGUUUCUGUGCUGAUGAAACAGCCAAUACUACAGUGUAGAAAUACUCAAAAUACACAUAACAUUCCAAAAGAAAAAGUACUCAAGAGUGGCAGAUUUUAGAAUAUGUAUAUUCCUGGAUCAUCACUUUAACACUGGAGCUGAUUUAAAAACUUAAUGUAUUUCCUCAUAGCAUCAACAAAGUUUUAUCUUAAUCUAUAACAUUACAUCAGAAUUUAUUUCUUGAUUAUAUUUCGUAUCGUUAAGCUAUUAUUUAAAAAAAUAUUUUACCUUCAUUUAACCCUUGUGUUGUCCUGUGGGCCAAAAUUGACCCGUUUUAGUUUGAAAAUGUGGGAAAAAAUAUAUAUUUUCAGUGAAACUUCUGAUGUCCACAUUUUCAACAUUUUAGGGAAAUCUUUGAACAUUUUUUGGUGGAAAAAAAGAAAUGUUAAAAAUCUACCAAAAUCCAACGAAUUUCUCAACGACAUCCACUUUCUCAUCUAUCUGUGCAAAAAAAAAAAAAAAAAAAAAAGCAUUCCCCAAAAUGUCAAACUAUUCUUAUAAAGAAGGGGAAGAGAAGGAGCUGGAGGUGAGGUGUGAUCGCAUUAAUGAGAGUGUGUGGGCGCUCUGAGGGAACAGUUUAAUGGCAAAUGUGGACAGGAGGAUUUCGCAAAGUACAUGAGUCAUCGCAGAGGCCAUAAAUUCUUUGAAUCUUGGCGGUUGGGUCAUAUGAGAACACAGCACGGUGGAUGCAGGCGUUCUACGUUGCAUGAGGAGGCAAUAUCUGUUUUUUUUAAAGCCGUAAUUCUCUUAGCAGGAACUCAACAGGCAUGUUUACAGUGUGAUGGAAUCAGACGGUGAGCAAUUUAAAAAUAAUUUUUGCCACCGGCAUACAAUAUCCAAGUCAUUUUCCACCCUCUAUUACAAAAAAUAAAUAAAUACAAGUGAGUAAAGUACAGGUGUGAACUGUUUGCAAAAAAACAGGAGUUUAUAUUUACAAAGUAAAACCAAAUUAAUUCUUGGUGUUUCUCCCUCGAAUGGAUGCAUAAAAGUGAACAUACUGUAUAUAGUUGGUCUAAGCUCAGCUGUACAGUCGGUGGGUAACCAGCCCAAAAUAUUCCUCGCAUGCAUUUCUCCUCACACACUCAGAGAAUCUAUUUACUAGUAUUUUACAGUUAACUCCUACGAAGCUGCUGUACAGAGGCUGUGUUGAGGUAAAGCAGGUGUUUCUGGCCAGCUCUAAGGGGGAGGAAUGGUCGUCCACUCUAUAUGGUGGAGGGGGAGGACAGUGGGG
This is a long non-coding RNA of Amphiprion ocellaris (clown anemonefish), 1847 nucleotides long. The record is from Ensembl. Lineage: Eukaryota; Metazoa; Chordata; Actinopteri; Pomacentridae.